ACCCGCUGAACUUAAGCAUAUCAAUAAGCGGAGGAAAAGAAACUAACAAGGAUUCCCCUAGUAACUGCGAGUGAAGCGGGAAAAGCUCAAAUUUAAAAUCUGGUAGUCUUUGGCUGCCCGAGUUGUAAUCUAGAGAAGUGUUACCCGUGCUGGACCGUGUACAAGUCUCCUGGAAUGGAGCGUCAUAGAGGGUGAGAAUCCCGUCUUUGACACGGACUCCCAGUGCUUUUGUGGUGCGCUCUCAACGAGUCGAGUUGUUUGGGAAUGCAGCUCAAAAUGGGUGGUGAAUUCCAUCUAAAGCUAAAUAUUGGCGAGAGACCGAUAGCGAACAAGUGCCGUGAGGGAAAGAUGAAAAGAACUUUGGAAAGAGAGUUAAACAGUACGUGAAAUUGUUGAAAGGGAAACGCUUGAAGUCAGUCGCGUUGUCCAGAAAUCAACCUUGGUUCUCCUGGGUGUACUUUCUGGUUCAACGGGUCAGCAUCAGUUUUGAUCGAUGGAGAAAGUCCAAGGGAAUGUGGCAUCUUCGGAUGUGUUAUAGCCCUCGGUCGUAUGCAUCGGUUGGGACUGAGGAAUUCAGCACGCCGCAAGGCCGGGGUUCGCCCACGUACGUGCUUAGGAUGCUGGCAUAAUGGCUUU
Molecule: ribosomal RNA, 636 nt
Filed under: uncultured fungus
Lineage: Eukaryota; Fungi
Description: eukaryotic LSU rRNA
Rfam family: Eukaryotic large subunit ribosomal RNA
Source: RNAcentral